CCUACGGGUGGCAGCAGUGAGGAAUAUUGGUCAAUGGCCGGAAGGCUGAACCAGCCAAGCCGCGUGAAGGACGAAGGUGCCAAGCAUUGUAAACUUCUUUUGUGAAGGGACAAAAUCAGGCUCGAGAGCCUGACCGAGGGUACUUGAAGAACAAGCAUCGGCUAACUCCGUGCCAGCAGACGCGGUAAUACGGAGGCUGCGAGCGUUAUCCGGAUUUAUUGGGUUUAAAGGGUGCGAAGGCGGACUGUUAAGUCAGCGGUAAAAGCCCGGGGCUCACCCCCGGCGAGCCGUUGAUACUGGCUGUCUUGAGUUGUCGAGAGGUAUGCGGAAUGCGCGGUGUAGCGGUGAAAUGCUUAGAUAUCGCGCAGAACUCUGAUUGCGAAGGCGGCAUACCGGCGGCGAUCUGACGCUGAGGCACGAAAGCGUGGGUAUCGAACAGGAUUAGAUACCCGAGUAGUC
This 459-nucleotide ribosomal RNA is filed under the name uncultured bacterium. RNAcentral describes it as "partial 16S ribosomal RNA". It matches the Rfam family "Bacterial small subunit ribosomal RNA", at positions 338 to 795 of the family's 1533-position model. The record is from RNAcentral.